RNAcentral lists this ribosomal RNA (538 nucleotides) under Acremonium guillematii. RNAcentral's name for it is "eukaryotic LSU rRNA". It matches the Rfam family "Eukaryotic large subunit ribosomal RNA", at positions 70 to 634 of the family's 3401-position model. The record is from RNAcentral. Lineage: Eukaryota; Fungi; Ascomycota; Sordariomycetes; Hypocreales; Bionectriaceae.
AGGGAUUGCCCAGUAACGGCGAGUGAAGCGGCAACAGCUCAAAUUUGAAAUCUGGCCCCCGCGGGUCCGAGUUGUAAUUUGCAGAGGAUGCUUUUGGUGCGGCGCCUUCCGAGUUCCCUGGAACGGGACGCCAUAGAGGGUGAGAGCCCCGUCCGGUCGGAUGCCUAGCCUCUGUAAAGCUCCUUCGACGAGUCGAGUAGUUUGGGAAUGCUGCUCAAAAUGGGAGGUAUAUGUCUUCUAAAGCUAAAUACCGGCCAGAGACCGAUAGCGCACAAGUAGAGUGAUCGAAAGAUGAAAAGCACUUUGAAAAGAGGGUUAAAUAGUACGUGAAAUUGUUGAAAGGGAAGCGCUCAUGACCAGACUUGGGCGUGGUGAAUCACCCGGCGUUCUCGCCGGUGCACUUUGCCUGUCCAGGCCAGCAUCAGCUCGCCUCGGGGGAUAAAGGCUUCGGGAAUGUGGCUCCCUCGGGAGUGUUAUAGACCGUUGCGCAAUACCCUGGGGUGGGCUGAGUACGCGCUCCGCAAGGAUGCUGGCGUAA